Molecule: transfer RNA, 74 nt
Filed under: Pharyngomonas kirbyi
Lineage: Eukaryota; Heterolobosea; Pharyngomonadea; Pharyngomonadida; Pharyngomonadidae
Description: tRNA-Leu
Rfam family: tRNA
About the family: Transfer RNA (tRNA) molecules are approximately 80 nucleotides in length. Their secondary structure includes four short double-helical elements and three loops (D, anti-codon, and T loops). Further hydrogen bonds mediate the characteristic L-shaped molecular structure. tRNAs have two regions of fundamental functional importance: the anti-codon, which is responsible for specific mRNA codon recognition, and the 3' end, to which the tRNAs corresponding amino acid is attached (by aminoacyl-tRNA synthetases). tRNAs cope with the degeneracy of the genetic code in two manners: having more than one tRNA (with a specific anti-codon) for a particular amino acid; and 'wobble' base-pairing, i.e. permitting non-standard base-pairing at the 3rd anti-codon position.
Source: RNAcentral
GCCAGUGUAGCGGAAUCGGUAAACGCGUCGUUCUUAGAAAACGAAACUUGAAGGUUCGAGUCCUUUCACUGGCA